RNAcentral lists this non-coding RNA (29 nucleotides) under Rattus norvegicus (Norway rat). The record is from RNAcentral. Lineage: Eukaryota; Metazoa; Chordata; Mammalia; Rodentia; Muridae.
UGCUAGAAGCUUCGGCUAGGGAUGGAAGA